RNAcentral lists this ribosomal RNA (184 nucleotides) under uncultured Streptococcaceae bacterium. Its description in RNAcentral is "partial 16S ribosomal RNA". It matches the Rfam family "Bacterial small subunit ribosomal RNA", at positions 155 to 334 of the family's 1533-position model. Lineage: Bacteria; Bacillati; Bacillota; Bacilli; Lactobacillales; Streptococcaceae. The record is from RNAcentral.
AACGAUAGCUAAUACCGCAUAAGAGUAGAUGUCGCAUGACAUUUGCUUAAAAGGUGCAAUUGCAUCACUACCAGAUGGACCUGCGUUGUAUUAGCUAGUUGGUGGGGUAACGGCUCACCAAGGCGACGAUACAUAGCCGACCUGAGAGGGUGAUCGGCCACACUGGGACUGAGACACGGCCCAG